Molecule: long non-coding RNA, 1368 nt
Filed under: Homo sapiens (human)
Lineage: Eukaryota; Metazoa; Chordata; Mammalia; Primates; Hominidae
Description: long intergenic non-protein coding RNA 1612
Source: RNAcentral
GGUGUGCUCUUGUGAUUGUGACUGACACAGGCAGCACCCUUUUGCAGAAGUAGAUGUGCGUUGCUGAGAAAUUUUCUGCCUAAGUUCUGGUUUUCUUUGCAGCACCCAGCAUUUGUUUCUAACACAGGGAAAGAGUGAGCUGGAGAAACCUCUCAAAUUCAAGAAAGCGUAAAGCAAAUUGAACAAUACGGGUGAGGAGCACGGACUAUUCUCUCAUGUUGAAUGUGGCACUUUUUACAUACAAGCAGGAGAGCAACUACACCAAGAUUUUGGAAAACAUGUUAUGUAAGUUUUUAUUUUUAAAAUCAGGAGAGAAUUUCUGCAACAUCCUAUGACCACAGAUCCCUACCCAUCUGCAUUGGGGCACUUACAGAUCACCUUCUCUUCUGAACUUUGUUAAUUGUGACCUCUAUGAUGGGGAUAUGAUAAAGAAGAAAAGUACCUCACAGCGAUGAUUGGCAUGUGAUCACUUAGCCAAUGAGAUAAGAGGCUGUAGAAACGAUGUGAUAAUGACAUCUCCUGAGUUGCAGGUCCAUAUUAGAAGUGGAUAUGAAGUAAACAUUGAGCUUUCCUCACAUUUAAUUAACAAGCUUUAUUAUAGAUACAGCUCAAAUUAGUUAAUUCAGGAAGCUUAUUUUGUAGAAAUUAAAACAUUAAUAAACACAUACAUUUAGAAAUAAAGAACUCGGCUGACCCUUUGACUCUUUGAAACAAGUGGCCUUCCAUGCUGUGAAAGAUUGUAGCCACUCUUUGAGACAUUGGAAUGGUGUCCAUUGCAUUUUAUCAAGUUAACUAUAGGUCAGCCUGGGAAAUCUGAAGUUUCCUUAUCUCCUGUCACUGUGGUUGCUGUGAGAUUUUGUGUCAUCACUGUGCUGUCUUCCCUCUCCACAUGAAGGUGAGCUGUCUGGCUUCACUCUAACGUUUGUGAUUUCACGCCCGACCUGAUUGUUGCCAAGCAAUUCCUUUGUUUGGAGAAUUCUGUGCUUUGUUUAGAAUUUUUUAAAGGUUCUUUUCCUGUGGUCAGAUUUCUGUUUGCUACUGUGUCUUAUGCCUUGUUCUCCUACAGAGAAGAUUCUUUGAAGUUAGUGGAAGCUCAGCUUAAAGGAAGAUCUACUGCUCUGUGUGGUGGAUGACCAUGGGGGAGCGAGAAGGCAGCCUCCGGCUUUUGUUUUGUGUGUGUGUGUGUGUGUGUGUGUGUGUGAUGUACCUGGAAAAAUAACACGACUAGGAUUAAAGAGUAUGUUUGGCAUGUUUAAAAUAAAUUGUAAACCAAACGUAUUUUAAAGAAUUUAUACAAAUUUGUCAUUUAGUAAAAUGAAUGACUAUUGAGUAUUCAUGUCAAUAAAACAACCACUUGAAUACAACAAA